GGAUGAGUGGCGAACGGGUGAGUAAUACGUGAGUAACCUGCCCUUGACUCUGGGAUAAGCCUGGGAAACUGGGUCUAAUACUGGAUACGACAUGUCACCGCAUGGUGGUGUGUGGAAAGGGUUUUACUGGUUUUGGAUGGGCUCACGGCCUAUCAGCUUGUUGGUGGGGUAAUGGCUCACCAAGGCGACGACGGGUAGCCGGCCUGAGAGGGUGACCGGCCACACUGGGACUGAGACACGGCCCAGACUCCUACGGGAGGCAGCAGUGGGGAAUAUUGCACAAUGGGCGAAAGCCUGAUGCAGCGACGCCGCGUGAGGGAUGACGGCCUUCGGGUUGUAAACCUCUUUCAGCACGGAAGAAGCGAAAGUGACGGUACGUGCAGAAGAAGCGCCGGCUAACUACGUGCCAGCAGCCGCGGUAAUACGUAGGGCGCAAGCGUUGUCCGGAAUUAUUGGGCGUAAAGAGCUCGUAGGCGGUUUGUCGCGUCUGCUGUGAAAGCCCGGGGCUUAACCCCGGGUGUGCAGUGGGUACGGGCAGACUUGAGUGCAGUAGGGGAGACUGGAAUUCCUGGUGUAGCGGUGAAAUGCGCAGAUAUCAGGAGGAACACCGAUGGCGAAGGCAGGUCUCUGGGCUGUUACUGACGCUGAGGAGCGAAAGCAUGGGGAGCGAACAGGAUUAGAUACCCUGGUAGUCCAUGCCGUAAACGUUGGGCACUAGGUGUGGGGAACAUUCCACGUUUUCCGCGCCGUAGCUAACGCAUUAAGUGCCCCGCCUGGGGAGUACGGCCGCAAGGCUAAAACUCAAAGGAAUUGACGGGGGCCCG
Molecule: ribosomal RNA, 824 nt
Filed under: Kocuria rhizophila
Lineage: Bacteria; Bacillati; Actinomycetota; Actinomycetes; Micrococcales; Micrococcaceae
Description: bacterial SSU rRNA
Rfam family: Bacterial small subunit ribosomal RNA
Source: RNAcentral